AGUUCUGUGAACUGGAUCAAAAGAGAUUCCUAAUUCAUACCCUCUGCAACAAAGGAAGCAGCACGUUCCCUCACCUGACUGAAGGCAGCAACAUGUGCUGAAAUUGCCAAACUAAUUUGAGAAGGCCUAUUUCACUUUGAAUAAUCUAUAAGAGGAUAUAGGGCUACUUCCUUACCUACUGGAAUUGCUUUUUUUGGUCUACAGCUCCCUAAUAGUAGUCGUCUCUGGUUUCAGCUUCAGCAAUCCCUGGAGUGGUGCCGGUACGAUCCAGCACCGUUCCCCAUUUAAGAGCCUGGAGCUAACAAGCGGUUUGCCAAGUCCACACAGCCCAGUGCUGCUCAGCACUACUGCGAGGCAUCGGCACCGGACUUGGAGAGACCCUGAGAGAGCGGAGGAAAGAACAGCCGAGGAGCUGGGGAAGAGCCUGGGAGCAGGCUCGGGGUUGUGUUGAUGUGCGACGCUGGAUGGAGCCGGGGCUGAGUAAAGGGCUGGGUAGUCGCACUUCGAACUGACCCAAACGGGGCAGGGAGAAUUAAAUCUGCUCUCAAACCUCCCGGUUUAUCCGAGGUCUGACACACGGUUUCCCGACAGUUCCGCACAGCAGCCACUGCGUGGCAGGAGAGAUCAAGAGGACGGUUUUAUUUUCCGCGGCGGGCAGGAGGGGAGGGGUGCAGAGCGCGGCUGCCGGCAGGGGAUGGGCGCCAUCUUGUCUCCCUGCGGCGGGCGGGCGGCGUGUUGGGACCCGCGGGCCGGCACAGCCGGGCAGGAAAGCACAGCCCGCCGAGCAGCGGGUGUGCCGCUGGCUGCUGUUCGUCACCGCUGAAGGGGAGAAAGGACCCGGGGAAGGCAGCUCGUACUUAACGGGCAGAGGCCAAGGCUGGCGCUGCCCGCCCGCCACAGAGCGCGCUGCCCGGGGCAGCUCCGCCAUGGAGCGUUCGGGCUGCGGGCCCGGGCGAAGCUGGCUCUGAGCAGAUGGAGCUGCCAGGACGUGGAUGUGCAGGACAGCUGGGCAGAAGAGUCAAAGCUGAAUUUAAAAUUAAUCCCCUGAAGUGCAGAUAAUAAAUAAACUCCAGAUAAUAAAUAAACUCUCGCUGCGCCGGCUUUCCCCCCUCUUGCAAUCCGUUGUUCCUUAGAAGAAGCGGAAAACUUGUUGAUCUAUAUUCACAGCAGAGUAGGGAGAUGUAUUUGUAGCAAGUACUAGAUUUUCUGAAAAACAUACUCUCAGAACAUCAGUUAUUAGCAAAGUCAUAUGCCACUUUAAAGUUUUCUUGAGACCCAAAACCAAUACAGACAAGGUCUACGCAUGUUGUUGCUGCAAAAUCGGGACAAAACUAUAGUUUUAAAAUUAUAUUUGUAUUUAAAAUUUGAUUUUCUGGAUGAUGCGUAAAAGGAAGUAAAAAUAAACUCUUUUGGAUUGACUAAAAUGUUUGAAGUUCUACCCAAACCAAAAUUCUUUUCCAUUUAUUUAGCUUGGCCACCGAAGUGAGAAGCUAGUAUGUGAUUAUCCACACACAACAGCAAAAAAGAUAUCUGAAGGACAAACAAGGUUUUAAUUAGCUCCACUUCAGUAUUUAAGAUUGAUGCUGAAAGGAAUUACUGUCAGAAUAUAAAAAUCUAGGUGAGGUGUUAAAUAAAAAAUGCCAUUUUUUUCAUGUUAAUUUUGAACUAGAUACUAAAAGCUCAGAAGUGAGUCAGGGCCUCUUUGAACUAAGGAUCACAUACAUAUAGAGGAAAGAUGGCACCGGCUGAGUGUGCUUGUAGACAACAGAAAUAAACAUGAGAGUUGGAUCAUGCAAAAUAAAAGAGAAAUAUGAUUGUUUAUGAUGUAGUGUGUGUAAUAAGCUACAGUCUCAGCACAUUUUCUUAAGUAUUGACGUACUGAAAGACAAAACCAUACCAAAACAAUCCAAACCUACAUCACUUAACAGAAACCAUUGUGCCAAAACACACUUCAGGCAAUACCAGACUGUGUUUAGACAACAGCAUUGAACAUAACCAUGGGAACAACUGAUGUUGAAAUCCAAGAAUAUAAAAAAGCAAAAGCACAAAAAUGCUCAUGGAUUUGCAGAAGUUUCAAGAAACAUGAUCCAAAUUUUAAACAAAUAUUUUUGGUAGAAAAUGAAAAUUGAAAAUUUAAGGAAUGCAAAUACAACUAUUCACUCCUUAUUUGCUCACGUGGGAAGUGUUUAGGAGUUCUGUAAUGGAUCUGUGCCUUAUACCUGGUUUGGGGAGGACGUAUGUCUUACAAACCAGUGCUACAUUUCAAUAGCCAAAAUGUUUGUCUCCUGUUUCUCCUGGUACAAUCUCACAGAACUAUGAUAUUAGUCCUGAAAGGCAACAUGGAUAUAGCCUGGCUUUUAUAACACAUAUAGAACGUAUUUCCAGCAUGUGAAUGUGGGCAUUAAUCUCAGUGGCGCUACUUCUUAAAAGAUUUGUCUGAGCUGGUCAGAUAGGGGGACUAUCUGCGUAAUCCUCUUGAGUCCCUCACUUCUGCAAGCAACAGCUUUGCACUGGUUACAGGUUAAACAGGUUUGCAACUAAACAGGAAAGAACUGUGAGAAAGUCUAAUGUUGAUCAACUGAAGAUACUGUUGCUGCAAUAAAUUACUAUGACAGGACUGAUCCUACUUCUUUGCACACCUGAUUCUCUGGGUAAACCUCACGAGAGAAGUGUACGUGGAAUGAGGAAACAAAACCCAUCUGUCACUGGCCAAAGGAGUCAUAAAUGGCCAAGCAGAACAGAAGAUCCUAGAAUAAGGAAGAAAAUGCAAAAGUAAUUCGAAUUUACUGAGUUCGCAAAGAGCUAUUAAUUCAUGUGAUCUUUUUACAUGGUCCUUUUAAAUUGCUAGUUUUUUGAGACUGGUUUUCAUUGUGCACUGUAAGUGAAAAACAGAGAAGCACUUAAUAAACAGUCAUCAGUCUGUAGCAAAGCUCCACUCAUCCAUUCAGUUAUAUCCCAAUUUCGAAGCAGUAGAAUUUGACAGUGAAUCUAUGAAAUAUUGUAAAACCUACUGGGGGAAAAAAAGGGAAAAAGAAAAAAAUCAGUCAUUCUUGUGACUGAUUAUGACAAUGGAAAUAUGAACCAAGCGUGUCAGCUUCCUAAGUUCAUAGCCAGCCAAAAAUGGUAACACUAGGAGGAUGAAUUAGAUGUUUGCAUCUCAGUGAGUUGUUUACAUUUUUCUCUGUAGGUUUCAAAGUCAGUGUUCAUUGCUGAUCUCCAGCGUUGGUUGUUCAAAGAGAGUGUCUUUCAGGAGUUUGUGUCCCAAGACAACCUGUUUCCCUUGAGUAGUUACUUUGUUUGAUUAGUUACUCAAGUUGCUGUUCAAAAGGGAGAAUUGACAAAGCUUGAUUUUAUUUAUGUUUUUUGUGAUUAGGUUGUUUCCUGGAUCAUAUGUUUCAGUAGCACCAGUUGAAAUACUGCUUCAAAUUAGCACUUUGAGCAGGAGCUCCAGGAUCAGGUCUCCACACAGAGCAUUUUUUUCCCCUGCAGACUCAUGUAAACAUAUUACCCAGUGGAUAUGUUCCAGGUACUGGCAUGCUAGGCCACUGUUUUCUCAUAGCAAUAUCUUCCAACUUCAUACAGGUUUUCAAUGUUCCUGCCUUGUCAGCAGCAACAUCUGGCUGUUUCCCGUAUCAUAUCUGAGACACUGAGCUUAUGGCUGAUUAAAGCUAUAUUUAACUGGGUUAAAUAUAUCCUGGAUUGUAAAUAUACUGGUUAAAUACUGGGUUGUAAAAUCUUUACUUUGUUGUGAAUUGUAUAACAGUCAGCAGCAGCUCCAGGUGAAAUUCUCAUGGAUUGGUCAUGGAUGACACGCUAACUAAGCGGGACAGGUAAGAAAUGAGCUAUUUUUUCCUGCAAAAUAGCUGCAGCUCUAUCUAGGCUGAAUGAAAAAAAAGUUAAAAGUGUGUUAUUAAAGCACCUUUCAUAUCAGUCACAAAAAGAACAUGCCCGUAUCACCUGGGAAAGUGAGGCAUUUCCAGGUACCUUGCCUUCCCUAGCCAUUGAAGUAGUUCAUCAGCAUAAAGCAUGACAGCAGCUUGGGAUAUACUGUUCACCUGUCAGGCGCUGAGGAAAUAACUGUUCCUUCCAUCAUAUCUGGAUAUCAAAAUGUCUCCACUAUUAGUUGGUAAAGCUUCAAUUUGAGGACAUAAAAG
Pseudopipra pipra is the source of this 4154-nucleotide long non-coding RNA. RefSeq lists it as uncharacterized. Lineage: Eukaryota; Metazoa; Chordata; Aves; Passeriformes; Pipridae. The transcript is spliced from 2 exons. The record is from RefSeq and is a predicted model, not a curated record.